Molecule: ribosomal RNA, 432 nt
Filed under: uncultured bacterium
Lineage: Bacteria
Description: partial 16S ribosomal RNA
Rfam family: Bacterial small subunit ribosomal RNA
Source: RNAcentral
AACGAACGCUGGCGGCAUGCCUAACACAUGCAAGUCGAACGAGACCUUCGGGUCUAGUGGCGCACGGGUGCGUAACGCGUGGGAACCUGCCCUUAGGUUCGGAAUAACUCCCCGAAAGGGGUGCUAAUACCGGAUAAUGUCUUCGGACCAAAGAUUUAUCGCCUUUGGAUGGGCCCGCGUUGGAUUAGCUAGUUGGUAGGGUAAAAGCCUACCAAGGCGACGAUCCAUAGCUGGUCUGAGAGGAUGAUCAGCCACACUGGGACUGAGACACGGCCCAGACACCUCCGGGAGGAGGAGGUGGGAAAUAUUGAAAAUGGGCCGAAGCCUUGAUCCAGCAUUGCCGGGUAAGUGAUGAGGGCCUUAGGUUUGUAAACCCUUUUUCCCCGGGAUGAUACUGCCGGUCCCGGGAGAAAAAGCCCCGCCUACCUCCGU